RNAcentral lists this long non-coding RNA (276 nucleotides) under Phaseolus vulgaris (common bean). Its description in RNAcentral is "long non-coding RNA (PVUL_LNC002483)". The record is from RNAcentral. Lineage: Eukaryota; Viridiplantae; Streptophyta; Magnoliopsida; Fabales; Fabaceae.
UGGAACGUUGUAGAGCGAACUGGAUUAUGAAAUUUAUACCACAGAAACUUCAAGAUGUUAACUCAAUAAUGGCACUGGAAUCAAUUAAAAACAGUAAGCCAAUUGAGAGAAAUAAAUUAGUCUAAAGGGUAUGGAGAUAUCCAUUUCAUGUCAAAAACGCAUCCUUUUCAAAUUCUUUUAUAAUUGAAUAUUCGAUUAUAUAUAUCUAUUCAUUCUAUUUAUUUGAUUUCGAUAAAUAUCAAAUACAAUUUUUAAUUCAAAUUGAAAAGUUUAAAU